Molecule: long non-coding RNA, 910 nt
Filed under: Rattus norvegicus (Norway rat)
Lineage: Eukaryota; Metazoa; Chordata; Mammalia; Rodentia; Muridae
Description: long non-coding RNA NONRATT020264
Source: RNAcentral
UUUAGAAACAGACAAAAGGCCAAUUGAAAAUCUUGGAUGAAUAGUUACUCUGGACAGGGCUUUGGAUGUGUUCUGCUCUGUGGAAUUUUGUGCUUACUACUGUAUAGUGCAUGUGGCUUAGGUUGCUGUAGCUGGUUUUGUCCGUGUAAACAUUGAAAGUAUUAUAUUUUUAUAGAAAUGUUUAUUUUUUAAUGAUGUAUGAAAAUUUUUGUUAGGCCGCAGAAGUAUGGGAGGUAUGUGAGACUGGGUUCGGCAGCAGCCUGUUUUUUUUUUUAAUGGCUGUAAGUUAUGAUAAGGAAGUGUACUGAUUGCCAGUACACCCCACCCUCAUUACGUCACCGGGACUUGGAGCCAAGGGUUAAUAGAGCAAGCUAUGACAUGGGUGUGCUCUGCUGAAACCCAAUAGUUGAAUUUGGCUGUUGUUGCAGGAAAACGAUGGCAAUCAACAGGUCUUUGAUGGUGGUAGAACAUAUCAGAACACAUAAGGAACUGUAGUCGAGAUUUAUUUCAAUUCAGAUGUUACUGCUUCGUAACUAUGAAGAGUAGUGCCAAUUCACAGAGCACUGUCAAUGGCUGACAGCAAAACAUAAUCUGCUCUGCAGAAAGAGUUGACUGCCAUUACGAGGUCAAGAGAAUGAACAGAAAAUGGCACCAGGAACAGAAAGAGCUGUGGGAGACACCCAUACCUGUAUAUACAUGCCCCAGAAAGCUGUAAUGUGAACAUCAUGUUUCCUAUUUAUGAACCUUCCUAGGGCACUGUGUCUGGACAGACUGUGAGAGGAAGUCAUUCUCCUAAGAUACUUGUCACUGCCUUUACCUGCACUUGAGCUGAAUGGUACUCCGUGUGUUAAUAAUUGUUCUGGUAAAUCAUACAGUGAAAAUAAAAUGACGUAACAUCUUGUAUACUGUG